AGCGUGUAACGCCCUCGAUGCGGCUAUAUCUCCCACGUGUCGAAGCACGACUUAGAGGCAUAACCGCAUUGAAAGCAAUGUCGCAAGUGAGGUAAUCUUCACACAACCCAUGUAAUACAUAAGGGAAAGAGAUACAUAGUUGGCUUACAACCGCCACUUCACACAAUUACAUGAAUAAAGCAUUACAACAUCCAAAUACAAUCAGGGCCCGACUACGGAGCCAAAAUAAAAGAAGAACGCCAAAUGUGACAAAGGUCCCCGAUCGACCCCAACUGGGCUCCACUACUGAUCAACUAGAACGAAACAACACAAAGGACAAGAUCUUCACCGAGCUCCUCCUGAGCUUGGUUGCGUCAUCUGCAAGGGCUCAUCAGCACCUGCAAGCUGGUUUUGGAAGUAUCUGUGAGUCACGGGGACUCAGCAAUCUCACACCCUCGCGAUCAAGACUAUUUAAGCUUAUGGGUAAGGUAAAAGGUAUGAGGUGGAGCUGCAGCAAGCGACUAGCAUAUAUGGUGGCUAACAUACGCAAAUGAGAGCGAGAAGAGAAGGCAAAGCACGUUCGAGAAAGUAUGAUCAAGAAGUGAUCCUAAAACAACCUACGUCAAGCAAAACUCCAACACCGUGUUCACUUCCCGGACUCCGCCGGAAAGAGACCAUCACGGUUACACACGCGGUUGAUGCAUUUUAAUUAAGGUCAACUUCAGGUUUUCUACAACCGGACAUUAACAAAUUCCCAUCUGCCCAUAACCGCGGGCACGGCUUUCGAAAGUUCAAAUCCCUGCAGGGGUGUCCCAACUUAGCCCAUCACAAGCUCUCACGGUCAACGAAGGAUAUUCCUUCUAGCGGGAAGACCCGAUCAGACUCGGAAUCCCGGUUACAAGACAUUUCGACAAGGUAAAACUAAACCAGCAACACCGCCCGAAUGUGCCGACAAAUCCCAAUAGGAGCUGCACAUAUCUCUUUCUCAACGCACACCGGAUUGUCUUAACUUCCGGUAGGCCAGCCCAGAGUUGCCCCUGGUGGCCACCGGCGGCUGACAGGUUGGACCAACACUCAGAGGAGCACUGGCCCGGGGGUUUAAAAUAAUGAUGACCCUUGGGCGCGCGACCCCCAAGGGAAAAGAAAAGGCUAGGUGGCGAAUGGUAAAACCAAUGUUGGGCAUUACUGGAGGAGUUUUAUUCAGGGCGAACAAUCAAGGGGUUCCCAUUAUUACCCAACCGCGUAAGGAACGAAAAAUCCGGGAACAUGACAACGAUAUGACGGAAACUAGGGAUGCAAGAGUGGAACAAAACACCAGGCAUAAGGCCGAGCCUUCCACCCUUUACCAAGUAUAUAGAUGCAUUAAUUAAAUAAGAUAUAUAGUGAUAUCCCAACAAGUAAACAUGUUCCAACAAGGAACAACAUCUCCAUGUUCCAACAGGGAACAAACUUCAAUCUUCACCUGCAACUAACAAGGCUAUAAGAGGGGCUGAGCAACGCGGUAACAUAGCCAAACAAUGGUUUGCUAGGACAAGGUGGGUUAGAGGCUUGGUUCAACAAUAUGGGAGGCAUGAUAAGCAAGUGGUAGGCAUCGUAGCAUAGGCAUAGCGAAAGAGCAAGCAAAGAUAGAAGUGAUUUCGAGGGUAUGAUCAUCUUGCCUGAAAUCCCGCAAGGAAGAAGAACGAGUCCAUGAAGAAGACAAACGGACGUAGACGAACGAUUCCUCACAAACGCGACGUUAUCGGAACCAACCCGAAGAAGCACACCGAAAAGAAGCACACAACAUAGUAAACAACCACCACAUAGACAUGGCAUGAUGCACAAAGAAGUAUGAUGCAUGUCCGGUUUAAAGAGGGCAUGGCAAAGUGCAACAACCAAAACUACAAAUUAAGUGGAGCUCAAUAUGCAACGGGUUGCAUAUUGACGGAACACCACAUCCAUUAUUUAGUUCUCUCUCGGUUAUGUACCCAACAAGAUUAAAUGUUGCUAGCAUGUCAAGAGGAUGAAGCAAAUGAAAACUACCUAUCUAGGCAAGUUUAAAUGAGGCCGGAAGCAACGAACAACAAUUCCGAUAAAUCCCCAUAUGCAUAUAUUAGGUUUGGUGCUGUUCUACCCUAAACAUAAUUUUAGAGUUGUUAAGCAUGCAAAGUGAAGCCACCAUGUUAAACUAGGCAUUUUUCUACCCCAUUUACAUAUAAAGAUUAUUUAAAACCGAGCUACGGUUAUUUAGUUAUGAAAUAAAGCAUUUUAGCAUGACAUAGGAGCAAAUUUAAACAAACAUCAUUUUAAGCAUUUUAAACAUGGGUGAAAAUGACAUAUUAUGAAACUAGAUGAAAAUCUAAGCAAGUUUCAUAUUAAGUUUGUUUUAAUCCGAUGCACGGUUGUGAAGUUAUUAAAUGCAUGAAGUAUAGGGUCCAAACUGUAAAACUGCAAUUCCCUGGAAAUUAGCUAAAUUCACA
Molecule: long non-coding RNA, 2438 nt
Filed under: Triticum aestivum (bread wheat)
Lineage: Eukaryota; Viridiplantae; Streptophyta; Magnoliopsida; Poales; Poaceae
Description: long non-coding RNA (TAES_LNC020931)
Source: RNAcentral